GCCGCUAUAUCUAUGUACUGUUAUCUGACAGCUGUCAUCCAACUCAGCUAUAAUUAUCUUCCAGUUGUAUUUCAACUCAUUUAUCACGUAGGCAGCCGUCCCACGAUCUUUGCAUAGCUGGUGAUUCUGUUACAACAACCCAACGACCUAAUAGAUUUCUAACAAUUUAAAGAUCUCCAAUGGCCUAACAGCCUAACAGAUCUCUAACGACCUAACA
RNAcentral lists this long non-coding RNA (217 nucleotides) under Elaeis guineensis (African oil palm). RNAcentral describes it as "long non-coding RNA (EGUI_LNC005141)". Lineage: Eukaryota; Viridiplantae; Streptophyta; Magnoliopsida; Arecales; Arecaceae. The record is from RNAcentral.